RNAcentral lists this unclassified non-coding RNA (391 nucleotides) under soil metagenome. RNAcentral's name for it is "partial contains 5.8S ribosomal RNA, internal transcribed spacer 2, and large subunit ribosomal RNA". The stretch from base 1 to 122 matches the Rfam family "5.8S ribosomal RNA", at positions 35 to 154 of the family's 154-position model. The record is from RNAcentral.
GAUGAAGAACGUAGCGAAAUGCGAUACUUGGUGUGAAUUGCAGAAUCCCGUGAACCAUCGAGUCUUUGAACGCAAGUUGCGCCCGAAGCCACUAGGCCGAGGGCACGCCUGCCUGGGCGUCACACGUCGUUGCCCCCCCAUCUACUCCUUCGGGAUUGCGGGGGGGCGGAUGAUGGCCUCCCGUGCGCCUAGCCGCGCGGUUGGCAUAAAUACCAAGUCCUCGGCGACGCACGCCACGACAAUCGGUGGUUGCGAAACCUCGGUUGCCCGUCGUGUGCGUUCGUCGCGCAUCGAGGGCUCGAAAAAAUGCUCGGCUUCGGCUCAGCUUUCAACGCGACCCCAGGUCAGGCGGGGUUACCCGCUGAAUUUAAGCAUAUCAAUAAGCGGAGGA